GAUGAACGCUGGCGGCGUGCUUAACACAUGCAAGUCGAACGGUGAAGCAGGAGCUUGCUCUUGUGGAUCAGUGGCGAACGGGUGAGUAACACGUGAGCAACCUGCCCCUGACUCUGGGAUAAGCGCUGGAAACGGCGUCUAAUACUGGAUAUGUGAUGUGACCGCAUGGUCUGCAUCUGGAAAGAAUUUCGGUUGGGGAUGGGCUCGCGGCCUAUCAGGUUGUUGGUGAGGUAAUGGCUCACCAAGGCGUCGACGGGUAGCCGGCCGGAGAGGGUGACCGGCCACACUGGGACUGAGACACGGCCCAGACUCCUACGGGAGGCAGCAGUGGGGAAUAUUGCACAAUGGGCGGAAGCCUGAUGCAGCAACUCCGCGUGAGGGAUGACGGCCUUCGGGUUGUAAACCUCUUUUAGCAGGGAAGAAGCGAAAGUGACGGUACCUGCAGAAAAAGCACCGGCUAACUACGUGCCAGCCGCCGCCGUAA
This 484-nucleotide ribosomal RNA is filed under the name uncultured bacterium. RNAcentral's name for it is "partial 16S ribosomal RNA". It matches the Rfam family "Bacterial small subunit ribosomal RNA", at positions 28 to 523 of the family's 1533-position model. The record is from RNAcentral.